CUUGGUGUUUUUAGCAAGUGUGCAACACCCCAUCCCAUCCCGAACUGGACCGUGAAAAACCUUAGCGCCGAUGGUACUUCGUCUUAAGACGUGGGAGAGUAGGUCAAUGCCAAGU
Molecule: ribosomal RNA, 115 nt
Filed under: Micavibrio aeruginosavorus
Lineage: Bacteria; Pseudomonadati; Bdellovibrionota; Bdellovibrionia; Bdellovibrionales; Pseudobdellovibrionaceae
Source: RNAcentral